This 157-nucleotide ribosomal RNA is filed under the name Microascus trigonosporus. RNAcentral's name for it is "5.8S ribosomal RNA". It matches the Rfam family "5.8S ribosomal RNA". From Rfam's summary of the family: 5.8S ribosomal RNA (5.8S rRNA) is a component of the large subunit of the eukaryotic ribosome. It is transcribed by RNA polymerase I as part of the 45S precursor that also contains 18S and 28S rRNA. The record is from RNAcentral. Lineage: Eukaryota; Fungi; Ascomycota; Sordariomycetes; Microascales; Microascaceae.
AACUUUCAACAACGGAUCUCUUGGUUCUGGCAUCGAUGAAGAAGGCAGCGAAAUGCGAUAAGUAAUGUGAAUUGCAGAAUUCAGUGAAUCAUAGAAUCUUAGAACGCACAUUGCGCCCGGCAGUAAUCUGCCGGGCAUGCCUGUCCGAGCGUCAUUU